GGUGGAGCGAUUUGUCUGGUUAAUUCCGAUAACGAACGAGACUCUGGCCUAUUAAAUAGACGAUAUAUUUAAAAGUAUAUCGCGCUUCUUAGAGGGACAAGCGGCGUCUAGCCGCAUGAAAUAGAGCAAUAACAGGUCUGUGAUGCCCUUAGAUGUCCGGGGCUGCACGCGCGCUACACUGAAAGAAUCAGUGUGCGUUACGCCUAGUUCGGAAGAACCGGGUAACCCAAGUAAAUUCUUUCGUGCUUGGGAUAGGGAAUUGCAAUUAUUUUCCGUGAACGAGGAAUUCCAAGUAAGUGCGAGUCAUCAGCUCGCGUUGAAUACGUCCCUGCCCUUUGUAC
This 341-nucleotide ribosomal RNA is filed under the name Nematoda environmental sample. RNAcentral describes it as "SSU rRNA". It matches the Rfam family "Eukaryotic small subunit ribosomal RNA", at positions 1300 to 1665 of the family's 1831-position model. The record is from RNAcentral. Lineage: Eukaryota; Metazoa; Nematoda.